AAAGUCGUAACAAGGUAACCGUAGGUGAACCUGCGGUUGGAUCAUUAAUAAGAAAAAGGAUGGACUUCGGUCUGCCCUAUCAAAUGAAAACCUUUUGUGAACCGUUCUGUCUCUGGCGGCCGGGUGGACGCUGACUCUGUUUAGCUUCCAUCUGUCAGCUUGGGAAGCCAAGCCGUGGACAAACCGCCAACCACUUACUUUAACCCAUUGUUUAAUAUUCUGUCUGACAUUGCUUUGUAUGAAUAUACAAACAACUUUUGGCAACGGAUCUCUUGGCUCUC
RNAcentral lists this unclassified non-coding RNA (281 nucleotides) under Chytridiomycota sp. RNAcentral describes it as "partial contains small subunit ribosomal RNA, internal transcribed spacer 1, and 5.8S ribosomal RNA". The stretch from base 1 to 47 matches the Rfam family "Eukaryotic small subunit ribosomal RNA", at positions 1785 to 1831 of the family's 1831-position model. The record is from RNAcentral. Lineage: Eukaryota; Fungi; Chytridiomycota.